GAUGAAGAACGUAGCGAAAUGCGAUACUUGGUGUGAAUUGCAGAAUCCCGUGAACCAUCGAGUCUUUGAACGCAAGUUGCGCCCGAAGCCAUUAGGCCGAGGGCACGCCUGCCUGGGCGUCACACGUCGUUGCCCCCCACCAUCUACUCCUUCGGGAUUGCGGGGGGCGGAUGAUGGCCUCCCGUGCGCCUAGCCGCGCGGUUGGCAUAAAUACCAAGUCCUCGGCGACGCACGCCACGACAAUCGGUGGUUGCGAAACCUCGGUUGCCCGUCGUGUGCGUUCGUCGCGCAUCGAGGGCUCGAAAAAAUGCUCGGCUCCGGCUCGGCUUUCACCGCGACCCCAGGUCAGGCGGGGUUACCCGCUGAAUUUAAGCAUAUCAAUAAGCGGAGGA
RNAcentral lists this unclassified non-coding RNA (392 nucleotides) under soil metagenome. Its description in RNAcentral is "partial contains 5.8S ribosomal RNA, internal transcribed spacer 2, and large subunit ribosomal RNA". The stretch from base 1 to 122 matches the Rfam family "5.8S ribosomal RNA", at positions 35 to 154 of the family's 154-position model. The record is from RNAcentral.